Molecule: transfer RNA, 100 nt
Filed under: Barrientosiimonas humi
Lineage: Bacteria; Bacillati; Actinomycetota; Actinomycetes; Micrococcales; Dermacoccaceae
Description: tRNA-Gly(tcc)
Source: RNAcentral
CCCGGCGGUGGCGCCGGUGGUCACGACGCUCGCCGGCUUCCAGCGGGCGGGCGGCCCCGACCAGGACAACUACGUGUUCGUCGACCGCGCCGCCGGGUCC